CAAGAUCACGGGGCGGAGCCCACGACGCUGCUGCCGGAGGGGAGCAGGCUGCGGGCGCCGCCACCCGCCGCCAAGCGCAAGUUCCCAUCAUCCGCGGUGCUAUCAGCGCGCCCGCAGGGCCUUCUUCCCCGUCGCGCGCAACGUCAACACCGUGUUCUGCGCCCUGCCACCCAAGAAGCGGAUCCGAGGGGGCUGAAGGCCGGCCGGCCGGCCGGCCGUGCAGCCACAGCUCAAUUGAGCCGCCAAUUACGGCCCCAUCCUCUCCUCUCCCUUGAAUCCCGCAGCAAGCAGUGGAGGAGGCGCCUAGAUCCGACGAAUCUUAUGGCUGUUCGUUCGAAGCUCAGGCGGGUCGGCGGUGACGCGGCCACCCACCGAUGCCGGUGGCUGCCGGAGCUGUGCUGCAGAAGCUUGGCAGCAAUGCCGCCUACGAGGUUGAGAAGGUCGGGAAGCCUCACAGCGAUGGCGCACAGGGAGCCCCAUCGUCCCGGUGCUCCAGGAGGGGCUUCGAUCGACAGGCAUCUAAUCCUCUUCUGUCAAGGAUGAAAAGCGGCGACAGCAGCCUUGGACGGAUGGAGAUGUUGGGAUGCCUGGCCAGGGUGUCAAGUGACCGACCAGCUCCGCACUUGCUUGAGGUCCUUUUGUUCUAUGUUGGGAACUCGAUUUUUGUUACAGGAAAAUGGACUAGCAAGGCGGGGGUCGACGGCUACCUGGAGGAAGGUGCUGCGCCUAGCCGCCGCCGCUGCCGUCGCCUCGGGAUCCCGCGGGGAAGAAAGGGAGCACGCUGCGCUGGCGCGGCGGUCGGCAGAGGCUGCGGCCGGAUCCGGGAAGGCGACAGCCUCGCUCCCCCGCGCUGCCCACACCGGCCGCCUCUGCGUCGAGGAGGCGCCACUGGGCGUGGAGCCGAGCCAAGUGGUCGUGCCGCCGCCGGAGGAGAAGUGGUUCUGCAUUAUCGACUCAUCCCCUGUGUAAGCGGAUGGAGCUGGAAGGGUAAUCAGGAUCGAUGGUCAUGUCAUCAUGUGGGGAUGUUCUUGAAUCAUCAUGCUCUGAGCUAAGAACCAGAUGGUAAUCCCCAUGACCUCAGUUCAUUUUGCAUAAAUUUGGGUGUUGGUUUCAAAUAUAUAAAUUUUAUAUGUCAGGUUACACUUGUGAACUCAUUUUCAGUUUCGUGGAUCAAAGUACUUCAAAUACAUUUGGUAAAGCAUGUUGGUUGGACAAAUUGCAUGGUGUUAGUGCCAUACUUUAAGGACAUAAUUAUCCUAUGAUGUUUCAAGUAAGUAGGAAAUCAUUGUGUCCACUUGUGCAUGCUUGUUUAUAUUGUAUGAAUUAUGAUGAUGGUAACACCAGCAGAUAUUUCCUCAUUCCAAGGAGACGGAGCUAGAUAUGAUAUGAGUUUUCUUUGUUGCCCUCAUGUAGAAUGCUUCCUUUGGUUCGCAAGUUGCGAUGCUUUGACUAAUCAUUCCUGCAAGUGGAAGGAAUUGAUUUCAGUGUUGGACCACCCAAUAAAUCCCAAACAUGUGUGCUUCCCUUGCAUGCUAUUUUGGGCCAUUGUCUUCAUGUUGUGCUUCAUUUGCUGCCUGCUUCAUGCCAUGGGGAAUUUCUGUCAUUUCCAGCGAUACUGCACACGUGUUGGGAGAUGGAUGAUCUAGGGCCUAUAAUCAUUUGGUUCAAGUCUCCGGCACUAAUGGCCGCAUCUUCGUAUUCAAGCACAGCUUCUCUCCUACCGGCCAAGACAGUUGAUCGUUCAGCAUUGUAACAAUUAAUGGCCGAAUGUUUCCCCAACAUCCUCACCAAGCUUUGCAUGGUGUGCAGCAAACAAAAUUCCAGGCAUAUUCAGAGACGACCGGUACGCCAUGCCGGUGCUGAUCGCGAGGGCACUCCUAGGCGAUCUCUUGCAUUGGUUUGCUCCAUGAAUGCUUGAUGUCAAUAAAAAUUCUUUUUUUCAACAUUUCUUGAAAACUCGAUGUCCAUAAAAGUUAUUGUGGUGCUGUAUUGAAUAUGUUGGUGCCGCACAUGCCUUUCCAUAAAUGUAAAAUUCUUAUUUGUCAUAA
Panicum virgatum (switchgrass) is the source of this 2048-nucleotide RNA transcript. RefSeq lists it as uncharacterized. NCBI's taxonomy places the organism in Eukaryota, Viridiplantae, Streptophyta, Magnoliopsida, Poales, Poaceae. The record is from RefSeq and is a predicted model, not a curated record. The transcript has 5 exons.